Molecule: ribosomal RNA, 168 nt
Filed under: uncultured Gammaproteobacteria bacterium
Lineage: Bacteria; Pseudomonadati; Pseudomonadota; Gammaproteobacteria
Description: partial 16S ribosomal RNA
Rfam family: Bacterial small subunit ribosomal RNA
Source: RNAcentral
UUGCACAAUGGGCGCAAGCCUGAUGCAGCCAUGCCGCGUGUGUGAAGAAGGCCUUCGGGUUGUAAAGUACUUUCAGCGGGGAGGAAGGGAGUAAAGUUAAUACCUUUGCUCAUUGACGUUACCCGCAGAAGAAGCACCGGCUAACUCCGUGCCAGCAGCCGCGGUAAU